This 24-nucleotide unclassified non-coding RNA is filed under the name Mus musculus (house mouse). Its description in RNAcentral is "oocyte_clustered_small_RNA7149". Lineage: Eukaryota; Metazoa; Chordata; Mammalia; Rodentia; Muridae. The record is from RNAcentral.
UCCAGCCAAGCUCCAGCUGUCUAG